UUUUUUUUUUUUUUUGAGACAGAGUCUCACUCUGUAGCCCAGGCUGGAGUGCAGUGGCGUGAUCUUGGCUUACUGCAAGCUCCGCCUCCCGGGUUCACGCCAUUCUCCUGCCUCAACCUCCCAAGUAGUUGGGACUACAGGCGCCCGCCACCACGCCCGCCUGAUUUUUUGUAUUUUUAGAAGAGAUGGGGUUUCACCGUGUUAGCCAGGAUGGUCUCGAUAUCCUGACCUCGUGAUCCGCCCGCCUCGGCCUCCCAAAGUGCUGGGAUUACAGGCGUGAGCCACCGUGCCUGGCCAAUUUUUGUAUUUUUAAUAGAGACAGGGUUUUGCCAUGUUGGCCAGGCUGGUCUCGAACUCCCAACCUCAGGUGAUCCCUCUGCCUUUGUCUCCCAAAGCUCUGGGAUUACAGGCAUGAGCCACUGUGCAUGGCAUCCUUUCUCAGUUCCCUUCGGCAAAAAGUUGUCAUGAGGGUAACAGUACUUGGCACUCAGUCAGCGCUCCAUCACCUUUUUUUUUUUUUUUUGAGAUGGAGUCUCAGUCUGUCACCAGGCUGGAGUGCAGUGGCACGAUCAUGGCUCACUGCAAUCUCUGCCUCCCGGAUUCAAGCAAUUCUCCUGCCUCAGCCUCUGGAGUAGCUGGGACUACAGGUGCGCACCACCAUGCCCAGCUAACUUUUGUAUUUUUAGUAGAGAUGGGGUUUUACCAUGUUGGCCAGACUGGUCUCGAACCCCUGACCUCGUGAUCCGCCCACCUCAGCCUCCCAAAGUGCUGGGAUUACAGGUGUGAACCACUGCGCCUGGCCUCCAUCACCUUUUAGUCAUCACUGAUACUAAGACUAAGGACAAACUGAGUCCCAGAGAGGCUGAGGCCUUGCUCCAAGUCCCACAGCAAAGCUGCUAAGUAGUGAGCCUAGGGCAGCCAGUUCAUGGUGCCCAGGCACUGGAGGCCUGGGGCUAUGCACCGUGUGCUCAAGAGGGUGGGUGUGGGAGAGGCCAGGUAUAGCCCACACACCUUUCUUCAGUUUCUCCAUUUACCAAAUGAAGACAAUGGUCCAUGUCCACCCCCCACCCUGGGGCAAACAUUGUUGCCUGCUCAGGUGGGAAAGCAGUUAUUUUCGUGUUUAGGGGCCCUCCAGGUGGCCCUGGACCCUUUCAGAAGCAGCAGUAGCAGGAGCCUACCCCUAUCAUAUUCCUCUUCUCAAAUUGCUCUGUGCAGAGCACCAGGAGGCCUUGGGAAACACACACGCACACACGCACGCAUGUCCCCCUUUCUGGUUCCCAUGAAACACAUCUCCACUGGCACAGUCGGCCGAGGAUGCAUGGCUCCAUCCCUGGGUCUGCCUUCCUAAGGGAACCCGCCAGGGAAAGGGACAUGGCUCACCCUCAUGGGUGGGAGGCUCGAGGAAGCUGCUUGAGAGCCUAAAGCUUUUCCUUUGCUGACUGGUUCUGGAGUGAGGGCAGCAUGCUUGCUGGGCAAUGAACGAGAAAAGGCACAGCAGAGCCUGGAUCUGGGCAGAGAGGCAGGACAGGCCGGGGCUG
RNAcentral lists this long non-coding RNA (1538 nucleotides) under Macaca fascicularis (crab-eating macaque). RNAcentral's name for it is "lncRNA (ENSMFAG00000060030.1)". Lineage: Eukaryota; Metazoa; Chordata; Mammalia; Primates; Cercopithecidae. The record is from RNAcentral.